GUUGUAACUCAGUUGGUAAAGUACUCGCCUCACAUGCACAAGGCCCUGGGUUCAAUCCCCAGCACAACA
RNAcentral lists this transfer RNA (69 nucleotides) under Marmota monax (woodchuck). Its description in RNAcentral is "tRNA.Val". The record is from RNAcentral. Lineage: Eukaryota; Metazoa; Chordata; Mammalia; Rodentia; Sciuridae.